CCGACUAAUGUUGAAAAAUUAGCGGAUGACUUGUGGCUAGGGGUGAAAGGCCAAUCAAACUCGGAGAUAGCUGGUUCUCCCCGAAAGCUAUUUAGGUAGCGCCUCGGACGAAUACUACUGGGGGUAGAGCACUGUUAAGGCUAGGGGGUCAUCCCGACUUACCAACCCUUUGCAAACUCCGAAUACCAGUAAGUACUAUCCGGGAGACACACGGCGGGUGCUAACGUCCGUCGUGGAGAGGGAAACAACCCAGACCGCCAGCUAAGGUCCCAAAGUAUUGCUAAGUGGGAAACGAUGUGGGAAGGCUCAGACAGCUAGGAUGUUGGCUUAGAAGCAGCCAUCAUUUAAAGAAAGCGUAAUAGCUCACUAGUCGAGUCGGCCUGCGCGGAAGAUGUAACGGGGCUAAGCAAUACACCGAAGCUGCGGCAAUGUCUUUUAGACAUUGGGUAGGGGAGCGUUCUGUAAGCCGUUGAAGGUGAAUCGUAAGGUUUGCUGGAGGUAUCAGAAGUGCGAAUGCUGACAUGAGUAACGACAAAGGGGGUGAAAAACCUCCUCGCCGGAAGACCAAGGGUUCCUGUCCAACGUUAAUCGGGGCAGGGUGAGUCGACCCCUAAGGUGAGGCCGAAAGGCGUAAUCGAUGGGAAACGGGUUAAUAUUCCCGUACUUCUGACUAUUGCGAUGGGGGGACGGAGAAGGCUAGGUGGGCCAGGCGACGGUUGUCCUGGUUCAAGUGCGUAGGCUUGAGAGUUAGGUAAAUCCGGCUCUCUCUAAGGCUGAGACACGACGUCGAGCUACUACGGUAGUGAAGUCAUUGAUGCCAUGCUUCCAGGAAAAGCCUCUAAGCUUCAGAUAGUCAGGAAUCGUACCCCAAACCGACACAGGUGGUCGGGUAGAGAAUACCAAGGCGCUUGAGAGAACUCGGGUGAAGGAACUAGGCAAAAUGGUACCGUAACUUCGGGAGAAGGUACGCUCUUGAUGGUGAAGUCCCUCGCGGAUGGAGCUGACGAGAGUCGCAGAUACCAGGUGGCUGCAACUGUUUAUUAAAAACACAGCACUGUGCAAAAUCGCAAGAUGACGUAUACGGUGUGACGCCUGCCCGGUGCCGGAAGGUUAAUUGAUGGGGUUAGCGCAAGCGAAGCUCUUGAUCGAAGCCCCGGUAAACGGCGGCCGUAACUAUAACGGUCCUAAGGUAGCGAAAUUCCUUGUCGGGUAAGUUCCGACCUGCACGAAUGGCGUAAUGAUGGCCACGCUGUCUCCACCCGAGACUCAGUGAAAUUGAAAUCGCUGUGAAGAUGCAGUGUACCCGCGGCUAGACGGAAAGACCCCGUGAACCUUUACUACAGCUUGGCACUGAACAUUGAACCUACAUGUGUAGGAUAGGUGGGAGGCUAUGAAGACGUGACGCCAGUUGCGUUGGAGCCGUCCUUGAAAUACCACCCUUGUAUGUUUGAUGUUCUAACUUAGACCCAUUAUCUGGGUUGAGGACAGUGCCUGGUGGGUAGUUUGACUGGGGCGGUCUCCUCCCAAAGAGUAACGGAGGAGCACGAAGGUGGGCUAAUCACGGUUGGACAUCGUGAGGUUAGUGCAAUGGCAUAAGCCC
This 1600-nucleotide ribosomal RNA is filed under the name Vibrio cholerae O1. Its description in RNAcentral is "bacterial LSU rRNA". It matches the Rfam family "Bacterial large subunit ribosomal RNA", at positions 776 to 2366 of the family's 2925-position model. The record is from RNAcentral. Lineage: Bacteria; Pseudomonadati; Pseudomonadota; Gammaproteobacteria; Vibrionales; Vibrionaceae.